RNAcentral lists this ribosomal RNA (506 nucleotides) under uncultured cyanobacterium. Its description in RNAcentral is "bacterial SSU rRNA". It matches the Rfam family "Bacterial small subunit ribosomal RNA", at positions 115 to 655 of the family's 1533-position model. Lineage: Bacteria; Bacillati; Cyanobacteriota. The record is from RNAcentral.
GCGUGAGAAUCUGCCCUCAGGAGGGGGAUAACGGUUGGAAACGGCCGCUAAUACCCCAUAUGCCGAGAGGUGAAACGAAUUUCGCCUGAGGAUGAGCUCGCGUCUGAUUAGCUAGUUGGUGGGGUAAAGGCCUACCAAGGCAUCGAUCAGUAGCUGGUCUGAGAGGAUGAUCAGCCACACUGGGACUGAGACACGGCCCAGACUCCUACGGGAGGCAGCAGUGGGGAAUUUUCCGCAAUGGGCGCAAGCCUGACGGAGCAACGCCGCGUGAGGGAUGAAGGCCUCUGGGCUGUAAACCUCUUUUAUCAAGGAAGAAGAUCUGACGGUACUUGAUGAAUAGGCCACGGCUAAUUCCGUGCCAGCAGCCGCGGUAAUACGGGAGUGGCAAGCGUUAUCCGGAAUUAUUGGGCGUAAAGCGUCCGCAGGCGGUCUUGUAAGUCUGUCGUUAAAGCGUGGAGCUUAACUCCAUUUGAGUGAUGGAAACUGUAAGACUAGAGUGUGUAGGG